This 253-nucleotide ribosomal RNA is filed under the name uncultured bacterium. RNAcentral describes it as "partial 16S ribosomal RNA". It matches the Rfam family "Bacterial small subunit ribosomal RNA", at positions 524 to 776 of the family's 1533-position model. The record is from RNAcentral.
UACGUAGGGUGCAAGCGUUGUCCGGAAUUAUUGGGCGUAAAGAGCUCGUAGGCGGUUUGUCGCGUCUGCUGUGAAAACUCGGGGCUUAACUCCGGGCCUGCAGUGGGUACGGGCAGACUAGAGUGCGGUAGGGGAGACUGGAAUUCCUGGUGUAGCGGUGAAAUGCGCAGAUAUCAGGAGGAACACCGGUGGCGAAGGCGGGGCUCUGGGCCGUAACUGACGCUGAGGAGCGAAAGCGUGGGGAGCGAACAGG